Molecule: non-coding RNA, 20 nt
Filed under: Mus musculus (house mouse)
Lineage: Eukaryota; Metazoa; Chordata; Mammalia; Rodentia; Muridae
Source: RNAcentral
UGCAACUCGGGAUUAGCAAA